CAAGCGACUGUUUACCAAAAACAUAGGUUUCUGCUAAGUCGCAAGACGAUGUAUAGGAGCUGACGCCUGCCCGGUGCUGGAAGGUUAAGGGGAUCUGUUAGAGCAAUCGAAGCAGUGAACUUAAGCCCCAGUAAACGGCGGCCGUAACUAUAACGGUCCUAAGGUAGCGAAAUUCCUUGUCGGGUAAGUUCCGACCCGCACGAAAGGCGUAACGAUUUGGGCACUGUCUCAACAACAGACUCGGUGAAAUUGUAAUUCCGGUGAAGAUGCCGGAUACCUGCGACAGGACGGAAAGACCCCAUGGAGCUUUACUGUAGCUUGACAUUGGGUCUUGGUACUACAUGUACAGGAUAGGUGGGAGGCUUUGAAACCAGGACGCCAGUUUUGGCGGAGCCAUCCUUGGGAUACCACCCUUGUAGUACUGGGACUCUAACCAUAGGCCAUGAAUCUGGUCUUGGGACACUGUCAGGUGGGCAGUUUGACUGGGGCGGUCGCCUCCCAAAAGGUAACGGAGGCGCUCAAAGGUUCUCUCAGUACGGUCGGAAAUCGUACGUAGAGUGUAAAGGCAAAAGAGAGCUUGAUUGCAAGACAUACAGGUCGAGCAAGGAUGAAAAUCGGACUUAGUGAUCCGGUGGUUCUGCGUGGAAGGGCCAUCGCUCAACGGAUAAAAGCUACCCUGGGGAUAACAGGCUUAUCUCCCCCAAGAGUCCACAUCGACGGGGAGGUUUGGCACCUCGAUGUCGGCUCAUCACAUCCUGGGGCUGUAGUAGGUCCCAAGGGUUGGGCUGUUCGCCCAUUAAAGUGGUACGCGAGCUGGGUUCAGAACGUCGUGAGACAGUUCGGUCCCUAUCCGUCGCAGGCGUAGGAAAUUUGAGAAGACCUGUCCUUAGUACGAGAGGACCGGGAUGGACGUACCUCUGGUGUACCAGUUGUUCUGCCAAGGGCAUGGCUGGGUAGCUAUGUACGGAA
RNAcentral lists this ribosomal RNA (969 nucleotides) under Clostridioides difficile. RNAcentral describes it as "partial 23S ribosomal RNA". It matches the Rfam family "Bacterial large subunit ribosomal RNA", at positions 1793 to 2760 of the family's 2925-position model. The record is from RNAcentral. Lineage: Bacteria; Bacillati; Bacillota; Clostridia; Peptostreptococcales; Peptostreptococcaceae.